Molecule: ribosomal RNA, 644 nt
Filed under: Bacillus sp. (in: firmicutes)
Lineage: Bacteria; Bacillati; Bacillota; Bacilli; Caryophanales; Bacillaceae
Description: bacterial SSU rRNA
Rfam family: Bacterial small subunit ribosomal RNA
Source: RNAcentral
GAAGGGAGCUUGCUCCCGGAUGUUAGCGGCGGACGGGUGAGUAACACGUGGGUAACCUGCCUGUAAGACUGGGAUAACUCCGGGAAACCGGAGCUAAUACCGGAUAGUUCCUUGAACCGCAUGGUUCAAGGAUGAAAGACGGUUUCGGCUGUCACUUACAGAUGGACCCGCGGCGCAUUAGCUAGUUGGUGAGGUAACGGCUCACCAAGGCGACGAUGCGUAGCCGACCUGAGAGGGUGAUCGGCCACACUGGGACUGAGACACGGCCCAGACUCCUACGGGAGGCAGCAGUAGGGAAUCUUCCGCAAUGGACGAAAGUCUGACGGAGCAACGCCGCGUGAGUGAUGAAGGUUUUCGGAUCGUAAAGCUCUGUUGUUAGGGAAGAACAAGUGCAAGAGUAACUGCUUGCACCUUGACGGUACCUAACCAGAAAGCCACGGCUAACUACGUGCCAGCAGCCGCGGUAAUACGUAGGUGGCAAGCGUUGUCCGGAAUUAUUGGGCGUAAAGGGCUCGCAGGCGGUUUCUUAAGUCUGAUGUGAAAGCCCCCGGCUCAACCGGGGAGGGUCAUUGGAAACUGGGAAACUUGAGUGCAGAAGAGGAGAGUGGAAUUCCACGUGUAGCGGUGAAAUGCGUAGAGAUGUG